This 245-nucleotide ribosomal RNA is filed under the name uncultured bacterium. RNAcentral's name for it is "partial small subunit ribosomal RNA". It matches the Rfam family "Bacterial small subunit ribosomal RNA", at positions 26 to 285 of the family's 1533-position model. The record is from RNAcentral.
AGAAUCAACGCUGGCGGCGUGCCUAACACAUGCAAGUCGAACGAGAAAGUGGGAGCAAUCCCACGAGUAAAGUGGCGCACGGGUGAGUAACACGUGACUAACCUACCCUUGAGUGGGGGAUAACCUAGGGAAACCUGGGCUAAUACCGCAUAAUACCUACGGGUCAAAGGAGCAAUUCGCUUAAGGAGGGGUCGCGGCAGAUUAGUUAGUUGGCGGGUAAUGGCCCACCAAGACAGUGAUCUGUA